Molecule: ribosomal RNA, 297 nt
Filed under: uncultured bacterium
Lineage: Bacteria
Description: partial 16S ribosomal RNA
Rfam family: Bacterial small subunit ribosomal RNA
Source: RNAcentral
GACGAACGCUGGCGGCGUGCCUAAUACAUGCAAGUUGAACGCAACAAAGACACCAGAGCUUGCUCUACCGUUUUUGUUGAGUAGCGAACGGGUGAGUAACGCGUGGGUAACCUGCCUUAUAGCGGGGGAUAACUAUUGGAAACGAUAGCUAAUACCGCAUAACAAUAGAGAUUGCAUAAUCUUUAUUUGAAAGUGCCAAACUGGUACACUAUGAGAUGGACCCGCGUUGUAUUAGCUAGUUGGUAGUGUAAUGGACUACCAAGGCGAUGAUACAUAGCCGACCUGAGAGGUGAUCGG